Molecule: long non-coding RNA, 1259 nt
Organism: Malania oleifera
Lineage: Eukaryota; Viridiplantae; Streptophyta; Magnoliopsida; Santalales; Ximeniaceae
Exons: 4
Source: RefSeq, a predicted model, not a curated record
UUUCUUUCCCGCAGACAGCCCCCAAAAUCCCUAGUCUCUCUUUGCCGUUUCGUCCAUCGAAGGUCUUCAAAUCGAAUGGCCGGCGAGACGAUGCCUUCUGCCCUUUCUUCUUCAGAUGGAGUGACCGUCGAUGAAGUGCUGUAGCCUCUCUCUACCGUUUCUUCCAUUGAAGGUUGUCGAAUAGAGUGGCCGGCGAGACGACCAUUCUGCCCUUUCUUCUUCAGAUGAAAUGCUCGGAUGAACUCAAUAUACUUCAGAUUGAGUCCAGAUUCAAGACUUCAGGCUUCUGCAUCAACAAAUCCUUGAUUCGAGUUGCCUCAACCAAUCUCUAAUUCGAGGUUCAAUACCCCUGCCUCAACAAUCUUCGUGUUCUCCUCCAAUCCGACGACUCGAGGGUACUUCCGCUGGUUGUACAGUUUUUGCUUCAGAUUUGAGUUCUCAAGGAUUGAAAUCUCUGAUUCAAACACUUCUGCUACUGCCUCCACAGAACGCUGUAGGUUUGAGCUUCAGUUUUGAGCUCUCCUGCAGAUAGAAUCUGUGCCCCCUGCCAGCAUGUCCUCCCAGCGCCCUCUGUACUGGAGAAGAUGGAAGUAGCAGUUUUAUUUACAGAGAGGAGAAAGAGCUUCAGUUGAAGCAAAACCAAACCCGAGAUCUUCAUCCUUGUGCCAAAAUAAUGUAUGCUGAUUACUACAAUGCUGCAAUGCUCUUUUUCGCUCCCCAAACCAAUUUGGUACUUCGCCCUCUGAAUCUUCUGUACACAUCAUGCUUUAGUGGCAAGACAACUAAUAUACUUAGCUUGAGCUUGAACUUUCUGCCAACUUGACAUGAUUGCUCAUCAGGAUUCAAGAGAGGAGCUCUUAGAGCAUGCUGCGGAGGGGAGGGCCCUUACCAUUACAGUACAUUGGUAAAAUGUGGCUCUCCGCUUGCAAGUGUUUGUGACAAUCCUUUCCUUUAUGUUAGCUGGGAUCAUUUGCAUUUGACAGAAUCUGCAUAUAGAUGGAUUUCCAGUGGCUUAUAAAAAGCCCCAUACACCGUUCCUCACAUUGAUCCCUCGUAAUUCUGUGGUCUGAAUGCUGGCUAUUUGGAAUUUCAGAUUAAUGACUGCUGAGAGAUUACAACAUGUUUUAUUUGCUUUGCUUUGCUUUUCUGUGCAUUGCUUGUUAUGAUUUUGUGCAUGGGCUUUGCUUAGUAAUAAAAUAUACACCAAACUAGAAUCUUUAUAUAUAAAUAAUUCCUCAGCAACCAACCUUUUGUGCAAA